RNAcentral lists this ribosomal RNA (577 nucleotides) under uncultured bacterium. RNAcentral describes it as "bacterial SSU rRNA". It matches the Rfam family "Bacterial small subunit ribosomal RNA", at positions 102 to 666 of the family's 1533-position model. The record is from RNAcentral.
ACGGGUGAGUAACACGUAAAGAACCUGCCUCAUAGACUGGGACAACUAUUGGAAACGAUAGCUAAUACCGGAUAACAGCAUUAACUGCAUGGUUGAUGUUUGAAAGUUGGUUAUGCUAACACUAUGAGAUGGCUUUGCGGUGCAUUAGCUAGUUGGUGGGGCAAAGGCCCACCAAGGCGACGAUGCAUAGCCGACCUGAGAGGGUGAUCGGCCACACUGGGACUGAGACACGGCCCAGACUCCUACGGGAGGCAGCAGUAGGGAAUCUUCCGCAAUGGGCGAAAGCCUGACGGAGCAACGCCGCGUGAGUGAAGAAGGAUUUCGGUUCGUAAAGCUCUGUUGUUAGGGAAGAAUGGAUAUGUAGUAACUAUACAUGUAAGAGACGGUACCUAACCAGAAAGCCACGGCUAACUACGUGCCAGCAGCCGCGGUAAUACGUAGGUGGCAAGCGUUGUCCGGAAUUAUUGGGCGUAAAGCGCGCGCAGGUGGUUUAAUAAGUCUGAUGUGAAAGCCCACGGCUCAACCGUGGAGGGUCAUUGGAAACUGUUAAACUUGAGUGCAGGAGAGAAAAGUGGAA